This 207-nucleotide ribosomal RNA is filed under the name uncultured bacterium. RNAcentral's name for it is "partial 16S ribosomal RNA". It matches the Rfam family "Bacterial small subunit ribosomal RNA", at positions 568 to 775 of the family's 1533-position model. The record is from RNAcentral.
UGUGUAGGCGGUUCUUUAAGUUUGGUGUGAAAUCUCCCGGCUCAACCGGGAGGGUGCGCCGAAUACUGAGGGACUAGAGUGCGGGAGAGGAAAGUGGAAUUCCUGGUGUAGCGGUGAAAUGCGUAGAUAUCAGGAGGAACACCGGUGGUGUAGACGGCUUUCUGGCCGUAACUGACGCUGAGACACGAAAGCGUGGGUAGCAAACAG